Molecule: ribosomal RNA, 252 nt
Filed under: uncultured Bacteroidales bacterium
Lineage: Bacteria; Pseudomonadati; Bacteroidota; Bacteroidia; Bacteroidales
Description: partial 16S ribosomal RNA
Rfam family: Bacterial small subunit ribosomal RNA
Source: RNAcentral
UACGGAGGAUGCGAGCGUUAUCCGGAUUUAUUGGGUUUAAAGGGUGCGUAGGCGGAAUAUCAAGUCAGCGGUAAAAUUUGGAGGCUCAACCUCCACGAGCCGUUGAAACUGGCGGUCUUGAGUGGGCGAGAAGUAUGCGGAAUGCGUGGUGUAGCGGUGAAAUGCAUAGAUAUCACGCAGAACCCCGAUUGCGAAGGCAGCAUACCGGCGCGCAACUGACGCUCAUGCACGAAAGCGUGGGUAUCGAACAGG